Bubalus bubalis (water buffalo) is the source of this 5791-nucleotide RNA transcript. It is a transcript of the gene named abhydrolase domain containing 11, with no coding region annotated. The transcript is spliced from 7 exons. The record is from RefSeq and is a predicted model, not a curated record. Lineage: Eukaryota; Metazoa; Chordata; Mammalia; Artiodactyla; Bovidae.
UUGGGCGGGGCCCUGAGCGAGGCGGAGCCAAGGGGACUGCACGAGGUGCGCGCCUGGUAGAAGACCGUGGAGAUGCUCCGCUGGACGCGUGCUUGGACGGUUCCCUAUAAGGGGAUCGGCCCCUCCAAUUCGAGCUUCUCCAGACUGCCUGUCGCACCCAGCAGCAGUCAAGGCGGCACCGAGCCGAGACCGGUGCCGCUUUCCUACAAGCUUCUGGACGGCGAGGCAGCUAGCCCGCCCCUUGUCUUUCUGCAUGGGCUCUUCGGCAGCAAAACCAACUUCAACUCCAUCGCCAAGGCCCUGGCUCAGCAGACAGGCCGGAGGGUGCUGACAGUGGAUGCUCGGAACCAUGGUGAGAGCCCUCACAGCCCAGACAUGAGCUACGAGGCCAUGAGCAAGGAUCUGCAAGACCUCCUGCCCCAACUGGGCCUGGUGCCCUGCGUCCUCAUUGGCCACAGCAUGGGAGGCAGGACCGCCAUGCUGCUGGCACUUCAGAGGCCAGAGCUGGUGGAGCGCCUGAUUGCCGUGGACAUCAGCCCAGUGGAGACCACAUCCAGCUCGAACUUUCCAAACUACAUCGCAGCCAUGAGGGCCGUGGACAUGGCGAAUGAGGCGUCCCUUUCUGGCGCCCGAAAACUGGCUGAUGAAAGGCUCCGCUCUGUUAUCCAGAGCGCUAGCACGCGGCAGUUCCUGCUCACCAACCUGGUGGAGGUGGACGGGCACUUCGUGUGGAGGCUGAACUUGGAUGCCUUGGCCCAGCACAUGGACAAGAUCUUGGACUUCCCCGCACUACAAGAAACCUACUCUGGGCCAACCCUCUUCCUCCGGGGUGGAAACUCUCAAUUCCUGCUUCCCAGCCACUACCCUGAGAUUAGGCGGCUGUUCCCUCGGGCCCAGAUGCAGACUGUGCCAAACGCUAGCCACUGGGUCCACAGCGAACGCCCGCAGGACUUCACGGCAGCAGUCCGAAGCUUCCUGGCCUAAGGGUUGCUGGCCAGAGGAGACGUGAAACCCCAGGCGUCAAGGCUCUGCGUCCUGCUCCCUGUUUCUGUACAGAAGCACUCAGGACAGAGCCUCGAUGGGGAGCCAUCCACCGCCCUCCCAACCCCCGCAAGCAGCUGCCUCUCACUUGGCGAUAGCGUCAUCUCGCUCCCGGAGGACCUGGUCCAGCGAAGGCUCUGUCUGGGUGUGCCCCAGUGCUCCAGCCGCUUGGGAUUCCGGGCUCUGCAGUCGGGCCACAGAGGUGGGAGCAGGGGUUUCUGGGUCUUGCCUGGAUGAGGUGCCCCAUGUGGCCCUUCCGCCCUGACCUUGAUCCUGAUGCCGAUGUCAGGAGGGGAAGGGUCUGAGACACUCUGCACCUGCCCGCCAGUAGUAGGUGUGGCCCCCUUCCCACCUAACGGGGAGCAGAGGGGCGGGGUGUUUGGACCCCCAGGGAGGAAAGGCAUUCUUACCCGAUCCCCACGAAAGGGGCGAAGUGGCUUCAGAAGGGCAACUUACCCCUUGAGGGCCCCAGACUGAGAGGGUGGCCUGGCGACUGGGACUCUUGUCAGCGGGGUGGGGCAGGCGGAGGACAUGGCCCUUUGCCCUUGCUUCCUGUCCGGGCACUCCCUGUCAGGCCCCACCCCCGGCCGGCUGGCCGUGCCCUUGUCUCCCCUCCUGGAACCCUCUGGCCAGACCCAGUUUUCUCAGCCCCUUCCUUGCCCAGUCAUUCAUGCCCUUCACCUCAAGGUGGCGCUCCACUCACGUCAGGAGAUGAGAAAGGAGCGUGAGAGCCUGUGCUCAGUGACUUAAGUCCUGUCAGACUCUGUGACCCUGUGGACUGCAGCACGCAGGCUCCUCUGUCCGUGGGAUUCUCCAGGCAAGAAUAAUGGAGUGGGUUGCCAUUUCCUCCUCCAGGGGAUCUUCCUGACCUGGGGAUCAAACCCACGUCUCCUGCAGAUUGACAGGAGAUUGACAGGCAGAUUCUUCACCACUGAGCCACCUGGGAAGCCAGAUGAGAAAGGAGGGACAGAGCCCAGCUGCCUCCAGUGCUGAGACUAGUGCCCCACCCCCCUAUCCUGCAGAGCUGGCAUCUUGGAACCCUGAAUGAAUGGCAUCAUCCAUAUAACCAGAACCAGAGGGAAAUAGGUCUAACUGUUCCUGGCAAAUUUCUCCUAACAUCUUAGCAAAAACAGUUCCCAUCUGGGGAUUCCCAAGCAGUCUAGUGGUUAGGACUCCAUGCUCUCACUGCCAGGGGCUUAGGUUCAAUCUCUUGUCAGAGAACUAAAAUCCCACAAGUUGCACAGCAAAAAAAAAAAAAAAUUCUCCUAACAUCUUGAACGUCCAUCCUCCCUAGAAAUAUCCUCCAGUAUUCCCACAUUAUUGCUCAUUAUCCCCCCAAUACUCCCCACAUUCUGAUCGUGGAGCGUGGGUGGGGAUGGGGAGGUCUCGGAAUCUCAGUAUCCCACACCUUCCUAGCUGCAACCGCUUAGUGCCCAGGUGACAUCAAAGAUAUAAAUGGGCUUCCCCUUUGAGAGACCUCUGCAGCACAGGUCCGUCUUGGGCAUUAGACCCUCGGUCCUGCUCUAAACAGUAUAUCCUUCUUCCAAGAUCCCCACCAGGAAGCUCCCUGCAGACAUGACUCCUGAUGGUCCGUGGGUCCCACUCAGCCAGGUGCACCUCCAACAGCCAGACAUCCCAGUUUCUUUGACUGAACCCCAGUGAAGAGGUAGAACUGAGCUGUACCCCUAAACACCCCUUUUGUGGAAGUUUGCAUUCAGUGUAUUUCUGGAGGAGGCUACUCUGUCAUGAUCCAGACAGGACCCCUGCUCUCGGAAUUCUGGGUAUUAUCAGAGAAGGGUGUCAGGGAGCCCAGGGACAGGGGGAGCACAGAGGGCCCUCACAUCCAGCCAUGGGGAUUCCACAGGGGCUUGUCUGAAAAUGAGUCCCGAAGGCCAGCCGGAGUCAGCCAGAAGGGCUAACAUUCAUGCCAGGCUAAAAUUCAUGACGUUUAUUUUAACUUUUUUCUUUGAAACAAUUUCAAACUGUAAUGCCCCCCCUCCAAAAAAUUCCUUUUAGGGUAAAAAAAAAUCUAGUGUAAAACAUUGCUCCCAGUUGUCACAUCUCUCUCCUUCAAUCUAGAACAACUUUGCAACCUUUCUUUGAAUUUUGACCUUGGCGUGUUUGAAGAUUACAGGGAAGUUAUUUUGUAGACUGGCGUGUCCUCUGAUACGGGUUUGUUCAUUCCUCCUGCACAUUUAAACAACUGUCACACAUUUUGGGCAGAAAUAUCACAAAAAAAAGAUACUGUGGGUUUUUUUGUUUUGCUGCACCGUGGAGCCUGUGGGAUCUUAGUUACCUGAACCGGGAUUGAACCCAAGCCAUGGCAGUGAAAGCACCAAAGUGCCAAGUCCUAACCACUGGACCACCAGGGAAUUCCCGAUGCUGUGUUCUUACAUCCAGUAUCAUUUGGAACCAUGACUGGUGGUGCUGGUAAUAUUGAUCACUUGAUCAUAAUUAGUCAGUAUUGAGAAAAUGAGGUAUUUUAUGACCAUAGGUUUCAGCAUCCAUUUAUGUAUCUUGUCUGAAUUAAUACAAUGGCUUGCAAAUGGAGUUUUCCAGUUUUAUAAUUUCUUCUGCAUUUAUUAGUUGGCCUUCUAUUAUUAAUAUAAAGAAGAACUUUUUCUUCACUCCUAUUUAUUCAUUUUACUUAUGUCAGGUGGACUUGUGAUAUUCUAUUUUAUUCAAGAGGCUAUAACACAUUCCUAUCAUUUAUUUUGAUGCUCAUAUUGUCCCAGAACUGGUCAGUGGGUGCCCCUUACUGACCUCUUCAUUUUAAUGUGUCACAUCCUUCUUUGGAACCUUCCAUUCUUUCUGGCUCAAGAAGAUAUUCCAGGUUCACCUUAUUUUUCCGUGCCCCCAGCCCUAGAAUUAUCCAUUUUGGCAAGAAUACCUAUUUCUUUUUGGUGGUGAAUAGUAUUUAGAAACCAAGAUGUGGGUGUUAGUUGUGCUCGAUGCAGUUAAGGUAACGUCUCCUGCCAGGCCCACUCAGUAGACACACGUUCUCCAUACACACAUAAACAUACACAUUUAUACCUCUGUUCCUUCAUCUGUGUGAGAGUUCAUUUUGUAUGUCAACUUAGGACUGAGUCACUGGAUGCCCAGUUAUCUGGUUAAACAUUACUUCUGGGUGUGUCUGUGAGGGUGUUUCCAGAAGAGAUUAGCAUUUGACUUGGUGGCCUGAAUAAAACGGUGGCCCUCCCCAAGAUGGACAGGAAUCAUCCAACCCAUUGAGGGCCUGAAUAGAACAAAAAGCCAGAGGAAAGGCUGAAUUCUGUCUUCCAGCCUGUUGAGCUGAGAUCUUGGUCUUCUCCUGCCCUUAGGCUGGUACUUGCACCACCAGGGCACUGCCCCUUCUCAGGCCUUUUUUCUCAGUCUGGAGCUCCAGCACCCCGCUUUCCAAGUCUCCAGCUUGCAGACAGCAGACUGUGAGACUUCUCAGCCUCCAUAAUGGUGUGAGUCAAUUCCUCAUAAUAAAAUUUCUUUCUCUAUAUUUAUCAUAUUGGUUUUGGUUCUCCGAAAACCCAAACGAAUACAACUUCCAUGUAUUGAAAGAUAGUGGUCAUUCAGACAUUACGUUCCAGUCCAGUGGCACUGGGUUCAUCGCAGCUUUCCCCCUUUCCAGAUUUUUACUCCCUUUUCCCCAGUUGUCUUCAAUAUAUUCUUGUAAUUUGUUCAAUGUAUGUAGCUAAUCCUGUAUGUAGGUAAUCCCCUGAGACAACAGGCUGCCCCUGACUUAAAUGCCCUCCUUACAAGGGGUUGGGUCCAGCAGGGCUGCCUUCUCACCCCACCCCAAUCCUAUCUGCAUACAUGGCCCUGGCUGCCAUUGGGCUAUCAGACAUUUCUAAGAGAUUUUUUUUCUGGGGGGGUGGUGCUUCACUAUAUGUGGGAUCUUAGUUCCCUAACCAGGGAUAAAACCCACACACCCUGCACUGGAAGACAAGACCUAACCACUGGACCACCAGGGAAGUCCCUCUAAGAGCCUUAUAUUCAUUCAUUCCACAGGUAUUUACUGAGCACCUACUAUUGCUUCAGGCAUGUUUCCCGGUGAUGGAAAGCAGGAAGACAGACAGAGUUCCCUGACCUCCCGAGCUCACGUUCUAGGGAAGGGAGACAGACAAUAAACAAAAAAGUACACCAGAUGGUAAGAAGUUCUGUGAAGAAAGAGAAGGAGAAUAAGAAAAGACUAGGAGACUGCUAGUUUAUGUAAUUCUGUGCUAUCCUGCUGCCGCUGCUAAGUCACUUCAGUCGUGUCCAACUCAGUGCGACCCCAUAGACAGCAGCCCACCAGGCUCCCCCGUCCCUGGGAUUCUCCAGGCAAGAACACUGGAGUGGGUUGCCAUUUCCUUCUCCAGUGCAUGAAAGUGAAAAGUGAAAGUGAAGUCGCUCAGUUGUGUCCAACUCUUCGCAACCCCAUGGACUACAGCCUACCAGGCUCCUCCAUCCAUGGACCCUAGGGAGACCGCAAAUAUUAACCUACCACUUAGAUGAAAAAUAGCCAUUCUCAUGACUUGGAAUAAUAAUUUUUCCAGCAACAGCAUCAUUUAUGAAUUCAAAAGGUCUGUAUUUCCAAACACAAGUGAAGAUGAUACAUUCGAGAAAACUGUAUGGGGGAAGUCAAACGAGGGGCUAGGUAUGGCUCAUGGCAGAUGCCAAUGAGCAGCACAAAUGCAAGUGAAGGGUUUGAAUCAACUUUCACAAACCGUGAGCAUGGAAAAGAAUUUCCUUUGAAAUAAAGUUAUUCUUAAAAAUA